GGACGGGCGGCGUGCUAUACAUGCAGUCGAGCGAAUCGGAGGGAGCUUGCUCCCAAAGAUUAGCGGCGGACGGGUGAGUAACACGUGGGCAACCUGCCUGUAAGACUGGGAUAACUUCGGGAAACCGGAGCUAAUACCGGAUAAUCCUUUUCCUCACAUGAGGGAAAGCUGAAAGACGGUUUCGGCUGUCACUUACAGAUGGGCCCGCGGCGCAUUAGCUAGUUGGUGAGGUAACGGCUCACCAAGGCGACGAUGCGUAGCCGACCUGAGAGGGUGAUCGGCCACACUGGGACUGAGACACGGCCCAGACUCCUACGGGAGGCAGCAGUAGGGAAUCUUCCGCAAUGGACGAAAGUCUGACGGAGCAACGCCGCGUGAGCGAAGAAGGCCUUCGGGUCGUAAAGCUCUGUUGUCAGGGAAGAACAAGUGCCGGAGUAACUGCCGGCACCUUGACGGUACCUGACCAGAAAGCCACGGCUAACUACGUGCCAGCAGCCGCGGUAAUACGUAGGUGGCAAGCGUUGUCCGGAAUUAUUGGGCGUAAAGCGCGCGCAGGCGGUCCUUUAAGUCUGAUGUGAAAGCCCACGGCUCACCCGUGCAGGGUCAUUGGAAACUGGGGGACUUGAGUGCAGAGAGGAGAGUGGAAUUCCACGUGUAGCGGUGAAAUGCGUAGAGAUGGUGGGAGGAACACCAGUGGGCGAAGCGACUCUCUGGUCUGUAACUGACGCUGAGCGCGAAAGCGUGGGGGGAGGCGAACAGGAUUAGAAUACCCUGGUAGUCCACGCCCGUAACGAUGAGUGCUAGGUGUUAAGAGGGUUCCGCCCUUAUGGCUGGCAGCAACGCAAUAGCACUCCGCCCUGGGGGGAGUACGCCGCAGGCUGGAACCUCGAAGAUGACUGGGGCCCGCACAAGGCGGUGGAGCAUGUGGAUAUCGAGGCCACCGCGGAGAACUACAGUCUUGACAUCGCUGACAGCUUAAGAAUGGCGUCCCUUCAGGACGAUGAACGUGGUCCAAGAUGUCUCGUA
RNAcentral lists this ribosomal RNA (1026 nucleotides) under Mesobacillus foraminis. RNAcentral describes it as "bacterial SSU rRNA". It matches the Rfam family "Bacterial small subunit ribosomal RNA", at positions 31 to 1056 of the family's 1533-position model. The record is from RNAcentral. Lineage: Bacteria; Bacillati; Bacillota; Bacilli; Caryophanales; Bacillaceae.